GACGAACGCUGGCGGCGUGCUUAACACAUGCAAGUCGAACGGAAAGGCCCUGCUUGCAGGGUACUCGAGUGGCGAACGGGUGAGUAACACGUGGGUGAUCUGCCCUGCACUUCGGGAUAAGCCUGGGAAACUGGGUCUAAUACCGGAUAGGAGCCAUUUUUAGUGUGAUGGUUGGAAAGUUUUUUCGGUGUAGGAUGAGCUCGCGGCCUAUCAGCUUGUUGGUGGGGUAAUGGCCUACCAAGGCGGCGACGGGUAGCCGGCCUGAGAGGGUGGACGGCCACAUUGGGACUGAGGUACGGCCCAGACACCGACGGGACGGAGCAGGGGGGAAGAUUGCACAAUGGGCGCAAGGCUGGUGAAGAGAGGCCGCGGGGGGGAUGACGGCCUUCGGGUUGUAAACUCCUUUCGCAAGGGACGAAGCUUGUUGUGACGGUACCUAGACAGGAAGCACCGGCUAACUACGUG
Molecule: ribosomal RNA, 465 nt
Filed under: uncultured bacterium
Lineage: Bacteria
Description: partial 16S ribosomal RNA
Rfam family: Bacterial small subunit ribosomal RNA
Source: RNAcentral